Molecule: ribosomal RNA, 468 nt
Filed under: uncultured bacterium
Lineage: Bacteria
Description: partial 16S ribosomal RNA
Rfam family: Bacterial small subunit ribosomal RNA
Source: RNAcentral
GACGAACCCUGGCGGCGUGCUUAACACAUGCAAGUCGAACGGAAAGGCCCUGCUUUUGUGGGGUGCUCGAGUGGCGAACGGGUGAGUAACACGUGAGUAACCUGCCCUUGACUUUGGGAUAACUUCAGGAAACUGGGGCUAAUACCGGAUAGGAGCUCCUGCUGCAUGGUGGGGGUUGGAAAGUUUCGGCGGUUGGGGAUGGACUCGCGGCUUAUCAGCUUGUUGGUGGGGUAGUGGCUUACCAAGGCUUUGACGGGUAGCCGGCCUGAGAGGGUGACCGGCCACAUUGGGACUGAGAUACGGCCCAGACUCCUACGGGAGGCUGCAGUGGGGAAUAUUGCACAAUGGGCGGAAGCCUGAUGCAGCAACGCCGCGUGCGGGAUGACGGCCUUCGGGUUGUAAACCGCUUUCGCCUGUGACGAAGCGUGAGUGACGGUAAUGGGUAAAGAAGCACCGGCUAACUACGUG